GAACUUCUCAGUUAGUUGGUUGUUGGUACAGUUACAAAAAGAGACAGACGAAAGUACAGUAGCUUUCAAGGUCCAACGCACAAGUCGCUUCUAUCAGUUAAAGCUAUCUAACCAUCUUAUUCUCUUACCAAGUCUCCUCUCAUCCAUCAACAAACAAACUCCACGAAACUUCAAUCUGACAACCUUGCACGUCCUUCCCCUUCCCCUUACUUGCUUCCAACUUUCUUCUUCUCUCUCACCCCACACCCCUUUUGUAUUUCUUACCAUUUCCUUCUUUCUUUGGACGUCUCUGCUUCUGGCAAAUCAGCCAAUGCUCGCUUCUCCUCCGCCACCACCACCAUCCACUUGUUAGCUUUAUCACUGCCUCAUCAAAUGGGGGGAGAGAAUCAUACCCUUUUGAUCCUUUUCCUUUUAUUGCUCCUCUCCAACUUCAAUUUUGCAAAAAGUAGUAAUUCUUCUGAGGUUGCGUUUACCCCUCCUGACAAUUAUCUCAUUGAUUGCGGAUCAUCACAAGAUACCAAGCUUGAUGAUGGCCGAAUCUUCAAAUCUGAUUCUUCCUCAAGGAGUUACCUGGAGACGAACGUAGAGGUAGAAGUUUCGGUGGAUUCUAUUCUUGUCAAUACCACUUCUAAUUCUUCUUCUCCUUCGUCUGCAUCUGCGCUUCUUCUGUAUCGCAGUGCAAGAAUUUUAACUUCUGAUUCGAAAUAUUCUGUUCAUAUAUCUAGUCCUGGUUGGCACUGGGUUCGUCUUUACUUCUAUCCGCUUCCCCACCUGAAAUACAAUCUAACCAGUGCUGUUUUCUCCGUCACAACUGGUGAUGAAUUUGUUCUUUUACAUGAGUUCUCUGUGAGAGAGACUACUUCGGUGGUUUUCAAGGAAUACCUCUUAAAUGUCACUAGCGAAACAUUUUCCCUCAUUUUCAAGACUAACCAACAAUCUUAUGCCUUCAUCAAUGCUAUUGAGAUUGUUUCUGCACCUGAUAGCCUUCUUUCUGAUUCUGCGUCCACAGUUCCCCAAGGAGGAACUUUCAGUGGUUUGUUUAAUUAUGCUUUUGAGGUGUGUUAUCGGUUAAAUGUUGGAGGCCCAAUCAUAACUCCCAAGAAUGAUACGCUGUCAAGAACAUGGCUGCCUGAUACAGAAUAUAACGCAUUUCCACAAGGAGUUCAAAAUGCAUCUGUCUCUCCCAGUGCCAUCAAAUACCCACAGCAUGGUGCCAACACAUAUAUUGCUCCUCGAUUGGUCUAUGCAUCCGCAGACCAGAUGGCAGAUUCUGAUACAGAGUCACAGAAUUUCAAUCUCACUUGGGAGAUGAGUGUUGAUCCUGAAUUUUCCUAUUUGAUCAGAACGCACUUCUGUGACAUUGUGAGCAAGUCCCUUAAUGACAUAUACUUCAAUUUGUAUAUAAAUGGAUUGAUAGGCGUGUCUAGUCUUGAUCUUUCAUCCAUCAACAAUGCCCUCUCCACAGCUUAUUACAUGGAUUUUGUGCUCAACGCCUCAUCCAUCCAGAACGGUACUGUCGCGGUUCAGGUUGGCCCUACGACCACAGUACAGUCUGGGCAGCCUAAUGCUAUUCUUAAUGGAUUAGAGGUCAUCAAGAUAAGCAACAAAUUGGGGAGCUUGGAUGGCUUACUCGGUGCUAAAGGGUCACAAGGAAUGAGCAUAAUGAAGAUUGUUGCAGCUGUUGGGCUUGGAAUGGGGCUAACUGCAAUGGUUCUCCUCGCAAUGGUAUUUAUCCGAUGGCAGAAGAGGCCUAAUGAUUGGCAGAAACGAAAGAGCUUCUCCUCAUGGCUUCUUCCUCUCCAUACUAACCAGUCUACAUUCUUAUCCAGCAAGAGCAGCUCCCGAAGAUCUAGCAUCUUUGGUUCCCGGAAAAGCAAGAGCGGUCACUCUGGUUACUUUAAUAAUCAGGGUCUUGGCCGGUACUUCACUUUCAGUGAAUUACAGAACGCCACACUAAAUUUUGAUGAAAAAACAGUGAUUGGUGUUGGUGGGUUUGGAAAAGUUUAUUUUGGAGAGUUAGAAGAUGGAACUAAGACUGCUAUCAAACGAGGAAACCCGAGUUCUCAGCAGGGUAUAAAUGAGUUCCAGACGGAAAUACAAAUGCUCUCUAAGCUCAGGCAUCGCCACCUUGUAUCACUCAUUGGCUUCUCGGAUGAACGAUCAGAGAUGAUUCUGGUUUACGAGUACAUGGCUAAUGGUCCACUUCGCGACCACCUCUAUGGCUCAAACCAACCUCCUUUGUCAUGGAAACAACGGCUUGAGAUUUGCAUUGGUGCAGCUCGUGGGUUGCAUUAUCUCCAUACAGGUGCUGCACAAGGCAUUAUACACCGUGACGUUAAGACCACGAAUAUUCUUCUUGAUGAGAAUUUCGUAGCAAAAGUAUCUGAUUUUGGCCUUUCCAAAGCUGCGUCAAUGGAACAGGGCUAUGUGAGCACAGCCGUGAAGGGUAGCUUUGGAUAUCUUGAUCCUGAGUACUUCAGGAAGCAACAGCUUACAGAGAAAUCUGAUGUCUACUCUUUUGGGGUAGUUCUGUUUGAGGUAUUAUGCGCAAGGCCCGUCAUAAACCCAGCACUGCCAAGGGAUCAGGUGAAUAUAGCUGAAUGGGCAAUGCAGUGGUAUAGAAAGGGCAUGAUUGACAAGAUAAUUGAUCCUCAAAUUGCUGGGACUAUUAAUCCAGGAUCUCUCAAAAAGUAUGUGGAAGCUGCAGAGAAAUGUUUAGCAGAAUAUGGCGUUGACAGGCCUGGCAUGGGAGAUGUGCUGUGGAACUUGGAGUAUGCUUUGCAGCUUCAGGAAGCUUCCUCUCAGCCUGACAUUUCAGAAGAUAAGAGUACAAAUCUCAUUGCUCUGAAAAAACCAAGUAGAAGGGCCCCUGAAGGCGAAUCUGCCGUUUCAAUUAGUGAUGAUUCUGAAGUAACUUUAGAUUCUCCAAUGUUCUCUGAAUUAGGGAACUUUCAGGGAAGGUAAAUUAAAGAACCUGACGAAUAGCAGCAGCAACGCAUAUGGUGGCGCCAAAAAAAGUUAGAAGCUACCUGAUCCAAAUUGUUCGUUGAAGCUUUUAGCAUGUGCAGUUGUGUUCUGCAGAAUUGAUCCUUUUUUUUUCCAUGUUUUUUCCCCUUUCUUUAUAGAUUUUCCUUUUCUAUAUAAGUGAGUGAUCUGUUUCCUUCUGGUUUAAUGAUUUUAAACAUUGAAAAUGUGAGAAUUGAAUGUCCUCAUUUCAGAAAAGA
RNAcentral lists this unclassified non-coding RNA (3224 nucleotides) under Hevea brasiliensis (rubber tree). Lineage: Eukaryota; Viridiplantae; Streptophyta; Magnoliopsida; Malpighiales; Euphorbiaceae. The record is from RNAcentral.